This 318-nucleotide ribosomal RNA is filed under the name uncultured eukaryote. RNAcentral describes it as "partial large subunit ribosomal RNA". It matches the Rfam family "Eukaryotic large subunit ribosomal RNA", at positions 40 to 350 of the family's 3401-position model. The record is from RNAcentral.
AUAUUAUUAAGCGGUGGGAAAGAAAAUAACAAUGAUUCCCCUAGUAACGGCGAGUGAAGCGGGAGAAGCUCAACGUUAAAAUCGGGGUACCGAGAGGUGCCUCCGAAUUGUAAUCUCGAGACAUCGGCUCAGCUUCGACCUUCCGAUAAGUCCUUUGAAAGAAGGCGUCACAGAGGGUGAGAAUCCCGUCUUAGCGGAAGAGCUUCGGGGCGUACGGGUGGUGUUCGACGAGUCGAAUAGCUUGGGAAUGCUGUUCUAAAAUGGUGGUAAAUUUCAUCGAAAGCUCAAUACCGACGAGAGACCGAUAGCGCACAAGUA